CUCGGUUUGGGAACGGCUUUGGGUUUGUGUGCACUUCUGAUUUUCUGUCUCAUUUAUUUCAUCCUGAGGAGAAGAAAAUGGGAUAAAACGAAAUCUGGGAUAGAAGAUUUUCCAGGAAUGACGCAGGAAUCUGAAGCUGAAACACUGAAUUAUGCAGCUGUGCAAUUCUCUAAGAGGAACCCCAAAGCUGAAACAAAGAAAACUGGCUCUUCAGAUGAGUGUGUGUACUCCGGUGUGAAGAAAACUCUAAGAUGUAACAGAAAUAAUUUAUAACGCAUGGUACUGUUACACGGCAAAUACAAUGACUAUUGUUCAUUACCAUGAUAUGAUAUGAGAUAUGAUAUGCCAACAGAAAAAAAAGCAGAAUAGCCUAGAAAUCAUACAUUUGUUUACACUAAUCUCAUAAUAAGAAUUAUAUUAAAGUUGCCUGUAUUUAAGAUUUUUUUUUAAUUUGCAGUGUCGAGAGAUGUCUGUGCUCAAGGUUUUUAUUUCUGUGCACACAUUUAAAAUAACUACUGGUGUUUUUUCAUGAUGAUUCCUUUCGGUUCAAGUGUCAGUAUGUUAACUUUCAGUAAGAGUGACCUUGUAAAAAUCCAACUUGUAUGUUUUUUUUUUUAAUUUUAGUUUCAUGAGUUCAGUAAUGCCCUUGUGUUGGGCUCAUUUGUAUGUCUGAUUUUUAACACAGUAAAUGUAAAAAGCAAUUUCGUAAAAAAAAGUAACAAAAACAUGGUCUUUAACAUUAUUCUGAAAAUUAUUCUGUGAGUAAUGUUCCAUUUCUAGUGUAUUUUCAAAAAAGAUGUGGCUUGCCUAGAAAUGCAAGUUACUGUCUAUUUGACUGUGACCUCGACAUUACUGUAUGUCAUUUAUUAUAUGAUUUACAUCUUUAGAGACUCAGAUAGUGGUGUGAGUUUUACCAGUGGAAGUGAAACCAGUGAAUGCAGUGAGGAUGAUUAAAUCAGCAAUAAAAAAUACAAUAAAUCUCACUGCUGUAUUAAUCUUGAUACAGACCCGGUUGCAGAAAUGACUUCCAACCUCUUCUAAGGCUGUUUUUGUCACUGAUCUUUGCCUUUUAAAGAUUUUGUUUUCCUGUUUGUGGAGCUCAGAACGUGGAAGUAGUUUUCUUCGCCAUUGAGUGUCAAGCAAAAUUU
This is a long non-coding RNA of Neoarius graeffei (lesser salmon catfish), 1148 nucleotides long. RefSeq lists it as uncharacterized. NCBI's taxonomy places the organism in Eukaryota, Metazoa, Chordata, Actinopteri, Siluriformes, Ariidae. The transcript has 3 exons. The record is from RefSeq and is a predicted model, not a curated record.